RNAcentral lists this ribosomal RNA (317 nucleotides) under uncultured bacterium. RNAcentral's name for it is "bacterial SSU rRNA". It matches the Rfam family "Bacterial small subunit ribosomal RNA", at positions 477 to 793 of the family's 1533-position model. The record is from RNAcentral.
AGCUGCAGAAGAAGCACCGGCUAACUCCGUGCCAGCAGCCGCGGUAAUACGGAGGGUGCGAGCGUUAAUCGGAAUUACUGGGCGUAAAGCGCAUGCAGGUGGUUUGUUAAGUCAGAUGUGAAAGCCCGGGGCUCAACCUCGGAAUUUGCAUUUGAAACUGGCAAACUAGAGUACUGUAGAGGGGGUAGAAUUUCAGGUGUAGCGGUGAAAUGCGUAGAGAUCUGAAGGAAUACCGGUGGCGAAGGCGGCCCCCUGGACAGAUACUGACACUCAGAUGCGAAAGCGUGGGGAGCAAACAGGAUUAGAUACCCUGGUAG